ACAAAAAUAAAUGCGGUGAACUUUCAGUGAUAUUGCACCAUAUAAAAAGGUUAUUAAAAAUGUAUUUGAAGGACCAGCUUUGUCAAUACUAAUGCUCUGAAGGAGCAGAGUUUUUCCCAGCUCAAGCCCUGAUGCACUGACUUAGUGAGGGAGCGAUGACUGCAAUAAUGGAUUUGAGUAGCUUACGUUAGAUAAGUGUUUUCAGACUUCAUAUGCAGAGAAUUGUUUUCUGCUUUAGACGGGAUGCUCAGUAAUAACAUAUUUUAAAAGGAAUAUUGACAGCUAGCUAUUGGUUCAGCUCUGGAAAUGUGUUUGCAUGUGGUGGUGGUGAUAGAGUGUAGAGGAAUGAGAGAUUACUGAUAGGAAUGUGAAUGACAUCAGUUUAUUUGUUGAUUUUUAUUUCUGUACUAAUCUGAGGGUUUUCAGAGAUGAUCUGCACAUUCCCUAAAUAUGACCAUACCAAGUACAUGCAAGCAUACAUAAUUAGCUUUGCUUUGAGAAACAGGUCUGAUCUUUUAUUUUCUAUUCAGAAAUCUUCAACCUGGCUGCUCGUUUUUGCACUCAUUAACUGCCGGAGCAGGAUUCCUACUGUGAGUUUCUACGCAUGUCUUUAAGGACCAAAUGACCAAAUGUCAAUCUGGUUUUAUUGCUGUAAAUGGCCCCAGCAUAAUGAGACAGCAAGGAAAGGUCUUUUAAAUUCCAACUUCCAGCCAUUUAAGAUGAUGAUGAGAGAGGUAAGCAUAUAUUUUUUAAUUAUCGCUGUUUUUUUCUCGAUCAUGCUCCCUUUGAAGAAUGCCGACAGCACUUUCCUCCUCUGUGGUACAUGCAGCACACUGGUUUUGUCUUUGAGUACCGCAGCUGCUGUGCUCACUUUAGUGUCUGUGGAAAGCUGGUGCAGUUAUUUUAUUUUCAGAGCUCUUGCCCUAAGGAUGGUAGGUCCAUCUCCACUGGGACUUUAAUACCUUACUGAGAGCAGCAGUAGAGACAUGUAGUAGCAGCAAAACACAAUAGAGGUUCAGGAGAACAACAAGGUAGCACGCAACCAGUUUCCAUAUGGCUUUUUGCUGUUACUGUUGUGCUUUUCAGACGUGGCUCCUUGUUAUUGUUUGCUUGUUUGCUUGUUUGUUUCUAUCAGUACUUAAGCAGGAGAUGGACUUCUUGUGCAGGCACACACCAGCAGGAUGGCCUGUCCUGGGGAUGACCUUCCCCCAUUUGCAGGUGGGCGUACCGGCAGUCAGGCUGAGCGUGAAAAAGGGCACACAGGACCAACGGAGGGGUCCUUUACAAGGUAAAGGAUUUUUUUUCAGUUCUCCAGAUUGUAACACCUCAGAGAGAUCUGUCACACACCCUGAGCACUGCAGUCCCGGUGCCGCUGUAGAAUGCCUCCGCGGCGCAGCGCUGUGUACCGUCACAACACCGUUUUCCAGGGCACCCUGCGCGCACGGCCGGGAUGUCACACCUGGCCUGGAGGUUCCCACCGGACGAAGGGCGGCGCUGCGGGCUCACACUGGGCCGGCUGCCGGCGGGCCGCGGGCUCCUCCCGGCGGCGGCCGCUCCGCAGGGAAAUGCAUACCCAGUUGCUCUGUCCAGCAGCAGGAGGCCUCACACAAGAAGAGUCUGUUUUCUUCAUGAGAGCACAAUUUUUCUAAAUCUGCAAAGUGCCGGGGGCCAGCUGCUCUAAACAGAGCUGAUGAACACAUCUGUGGAAAUGUCAGGGUGGUUAGGCAAACCUAAUACUGCUAAACCACCACUGACAGGAGCCCGUAUCUCAUCCAGCCCUUCAUACUGCUGCUGCAACAACUCAGGCCUCUGAUCCAGGGUUCAAUUUCCUUUUGGCCAAGAAAGAGAACCUAGAUGAAGAUGUAAUGCAGCUGGACAAUUAGCCACUACAAAUAGUUUGCUGAGGCUCUGGGCAAUACGGAGACCUCUGUAAACAUCAGAAUUACAGACAAUGUGCAUUCAGUCUGUGUAGUUUGCUUAAUUCUCAACGCUGUGUUAAACGAUUUACCCAAGCUGCUUUUUAAUAAACAUACCUGACCCAAGUAUAUUCUCCAGCCAUCAAGAAUCACCAAACUUCUAAAUACAGUUGUCCACCAAUGCCCACAGAGUUUAAGUUGAAAAUAAAAUCCUAAAAUAA
Molecule: RNA transcript, 2137 nt
Organism: Numida meleagris (helmeted guineafowl)
Lineage: Eukaryota; Metazoa; Chordata; Aves; Galliformes; Numididae
Exons: 4
Source: RefSeq, a predicted model, not a curated record